AAGGUUUUAGUUUAAUUUUAGAAUAGUUGAUUUUUAAUCAGAAGGUGUUUGGCUUUA
RNAcentral lists this transfer RNA (57 nucleotides) under Spirocerca lupi. RNAcentral's name for it is "tRNA-Lys". Lineage: Eukaryota; Metazoa; Nematoda; Chromadorea; Rhabditida; Thelaziidae. The record is from RNAcentral.